RNAcentral lists this ribosomal RNA (850 nucleotides) under uncultured bacterium. RNAcentral describes it as "bacterial SSU rRNA". It matches the Rfam family "Bacterial small subunit ribosomal RNA", at positions 28 to 869 of the family's 1533-position model. The record is from RNAcentral.
AUUGAACGCUGGCGGCAGGCUUAACACAUGCAAGUCGAGCGGUAACAUUUCUAGCUUGCUAGAAGAUGACGAGCGGCGGACGGGUGAGUAAUGCUUGGGAAUAUGCCUUGAAGUGGGGGACAACAGUUGGAAACGACUGCUAAUACCGCAUAAUGUCUACGGACCAAAGGGGGGGAUCUUCGGACCUCUCGCUUCUAGAUUAGCCCAAGUGAGAUUAGCUAGUUGGUAGGGUAAAGGCCUACCAAGGCGACGAUCUCUAGCUGGUUUGAGAGGAUGAUCAGCCACACUGGGACUGAGACACGGCCCAGACUCCUACGGGAGGCAGCAGUGGGGAAUAUUGCACAAUGGGGGAAACCCUGAUGCAGCCAUGCCGCGUGUGUGAAGAAGGCCUUCGGGUUGUAAAGCACUUUCAGUUGUGAGGAAAGGUUAAAUUUUAAUAGAGUUUAACUGUGACGUUAACAACAGAAGAAGCACCGGCUAACUUCGUGCCAGCAGCCGCGGUAAUACGAGGGGUGCAAGCGUUAAUCGGAAUUACUGGGCGUAAAGCGUUCGUAGGCGGUUAUUUAAGCAAGAUGUGAAAGCCCAGGGCUCAACCUUGGAACUGCAUUUUGAACUGGGUAACUAGAGUACUGUAGAGGGUGGUGGAAUUUCCAGUGUAGCGGUGAAAUGCGUAGAGAUUGGAAGGAACAUCAGUGGCGAAAGCGGCCACCUGGACAGAUACUGACGCUGAGGAACGAAAGCGUGGGGAGCGAACAGGAUUAGAUACCCUGGUAGUCCACGCCGUAAACGAUGUCAACUAGCCGUUUGUGUCCUUGAGACGUGAGUGGCGCAGCUAACGCACUAAGUUGAC